UCGAUUUAUAAGUCAAACGGUUCAGUGCUCGAAGCGUGCGCGCUUAGGUCUCACUCUCUCCGUCAUAUAAUAGUAUUAACAAUAAUAAACUUUAUUGAAAUUAAUGAAGGUAUUACAAAACCAGUUUGGCACAUCUAAUCUUUAAUAUAAUGGGCUUCAACACUGGGCCGUCUGUAAUUUCACAGGACACUAGUUUGAGCAAAUGUUCAUUCAUAUA
Paramuricea clavata is the source of this 217-nucleotide non-coding RNA. Lineage: Eukaryota; Metazoa; Cnidaria; Anthozoa; Malacalcyonacea; Plexauridae. The record is from the annotation of a GenBank genome assembly.